GCGGACGGGUGCGUAACGCGUAUGCAACCUACCCUUAACUGGAACAUAGCCCGGGGAAACUCGGAUUAAUUUUCCAUAGCAUAUCGAUGUCGCAUGGCAUUGAUAUUAAAGCUCAGGCGGUUAAGGAUGGGCAUGCGUCUGAUUAGCUUGUUGGUGAGGUAACGGCUCACCAAGGCAAUGAUCAGUAGGGGUUCUGAGAGGAUGAUCCCCCACACUGGUACUGAGACACGGACCAGACUCC
RNAcentral lists this ribosomal RNA (241 nucleotides) under uncultured bacterium. Its description in RNAcentral is "partial 16S ribosomal RNA". It matches the Rfam family "Bacterial small subunit ribosomal RNA", at positions 98 to 339 of the family's 1533-position model. The record is from RNAcentral.